GAUGAACGCUGGCGGCGUGCCUAAUACAUGCAAGUCGAGCGAAUGGAUUAAGAGCUUGCUCUUAUGAAGUUAGCGGCGGACGGGUGAGUAACACGUGGGUAACCUGCCCAUAAGACUGGGAUAACUCCGGGAAACCGGGGCUAAUACCGGAUAACAUUUUGAACCGCAUGGUUCGAAAUUGAAAGGCGGCUUCGGCUGUCACUUAUGGAUGUACCCGCGUCGCAUUAGCUAGUUGGUGAGGUAACGGCUCACCAAGGCAACGUUGCGUAGCCGACCUGAGAGGGUGAUCGGCCACACUGAGACUGAGACACGGCCCAGACUCCUACGGGAGGCAGCAGUAGGGAAUCUUCCGCAAUGGACGAAAGUCUGACGGAGCAACGCCGCGUGAGUGAUGAAGGCUUUCGGGUCGUAAAACUCUGUUGUUAGGGAAGAACAAGUGCUAGUUGAAUAAGCUGACACCUUGACGGUACCUAACCAGAAAGCCACGGCUAACUACGUGCCAGCAGCCGCCGUAA
This 515-nucleotide ribosomal RNA is filed under the name uncultured bacterium. RNAcentral's name for it is "partial 16S ribosomal RNA". It matches the Rfam family "Bacterial small subunit ribosomal RNA", at positions 28 to 523 of the family's 1533-position model. The record is from RNAcentral.